UUUCAGGACGUGAUGGCAUCCUGGAAAAAGUACUGGUAGGGAAGGAGUAGAUGAGCUGCCUGACUCAUUUGGUGCUAGACCCCACUUACCUGGCACCACAAACACUAUUAUUGCACAGGCACAGAUACUGAAGACUAUUGUUUUCUUAUUACUGCUAUUACCAUUGCUGUUAUCAUCAAAUACAAUAACCUUAUAAUUACUAUUGGACAUUCAUCAAGAAUUACAAAGCACUGCCUCUAAACAGGCUCCACCAAGGGUUGAUGACUUCAAGAGGACAGAAAAUAAAACUCCAUCUAAGCCCCAUGGUUUGAAUGGCCAGAAGCUGUUUUGUCACCACAGACUGCUCUUCUAAGAAUAUACAGACUUCAACUCACUGAAUGUGUCUGCAAGCCAAGGGUUUGCUUUCUCUGUUGUAGAAAGAAAUCCUCUGAGACACUGUUAUACUGUCUUUCCUGGAACUUUUUGGCAUAGAAACAAAAUGGAAAGGCCAGAACAGUCAAUAUAACUGUCAUGUGCUCAGUACCACAAAAAAUCUGCAUAACACCAAAUUUCAAGAGUGAUGGAGUAUGAACUGGUCCUUACAUGUGGAUUAUACAGAUGGUCCUCAAAGUGUUUAAGCACAUUUGAACAUGCAAGAUCCAUUAUUUAUUGCAAGAGAUGGCGAUCAGAGGCGGAACUUCGCAUGGGCCAUUAGCAGGUGCCAAGGGAACAUGGCUAGCAGUGAGUUCUUUAGCAUCCCGGCCUGCCUCCCUCGGCAGCCAGCCCCUCUGGCUGAGCCAGCUGGAUCACACUGAAUUAGUCAAGUACUUCAUUAUCAACCCUCUCUGCACAUUUUGCUCCAGGUAUAAGUACUACAGAAAGACCCACAGAGAGAGAGAGACAGAGGCCCAGACCAAAUCCCAGUAUUUACUAUCAAAGAAGGGAGAAGGAGCUCUGAGGGAAAAACACUAAUGAAAUACGCUUGACAACAGCGAAGGCAUCACAGAUUAGCACCAGCAAAAAUGCGCCACGGGCACCUGAUCUCCCAGCCUCGGCCAGAACCUCCUACAGAUCCACCAGGCCUCCUGCUUGACACUCUCCCCGUUGGUCAUACCCACGUGAUGGAAGUAGACAAAACUGAUGCAAGCUGCUACACAUCCAGCCCACACUCAGUGCACAGGUUUAUACAAGAGUGUGAACACCAGGAGGUGAGAGUGAAGGGGGCCGUCUUUGAAGUCUGCCUGCCUCACUUUGUUUGAAACUACAGGAACAGACUGUUAAUUCCAUGUUCCUGAGAAAACUCCUUAGCCCUCAACCUUGGUAUUUCCCUAUCUGUAACAUAUUGAUGAGAGAGUAGAUGGCAUCAUGUGUGGUCAUUUAUACAGCCAAAUUCAAGACUGAAUGAAUACAGAUCAAAUUUGCCCCAAAAAAUAUGGAAAACAAUAAGAUAUGCUUCUCAGAGUCAAGAUCUGCCCAUUGAAAGAUAAUUCUCCAUCUCCAGAUGCUUCUGCACAUCUUCCAAGCAGACAUUGCAUUUGUUUUAGACUAUCUUUUCAAGGAUGUUUGCAGAGUGAACAGUCUUGGAGGACAGAGGUAGUAUCUCCCUUCAGGGCACAGGUCAUCAGGCAUGCUUAUUUCCUUUAAAAAAAAAAAGAUUCAGGCUUCUGAGCUCCAGGGUUCCUCUCCUGUAACCCACUCCACUAUAUGUACAGAUAUUAUCUGGCCCUCUUUACAUUGUCCUUUGGGAAUUGAGACUCAGAGGACCAGCACAAAUGCUGAUACUUGGGCUACCAUUCUUACUGUGAAAAGUCCUGUCUCUGACCCAAGGGUCUCAUGUCUUCCACCAGCAUCCUUGAAACUAUGGGAGACUCUGACAGAUAGACUCCAACAUGGUCCUCAAGGUCCCCAUCUCCUCAUAUCAAUGCCCUGUCAUGUCCUCUUCCCUUGAGGAUGGGUAUUGCUUUUAACUAAUAAAAUAUAGAAAAAGUGACAUGGAUAUAUGUGAUUAUGUGUACGUAAUCAUAUUACAUAUAUCUAUAAUGUCUGUCUUACAAGAAAACUCUCCCCCUUGCUGGCUUUGAGGAAGAAAAUGGCCAUAUUGAGAAGAUCCAUGUAGCAAGAAACUGAAGGUAGCCUCCAGCUGAGAACUAGCAAGAAUUGGGGCCCUACAGCUUGUAGGAAACUGAAUGCUGUGAAAAAUCAUUAGAACUUGGAAACAGAUGUUUUUCUAGCCAAGCUUCAGAUAAGAAUACAGUACUGGUAAUAUCUUGAUUGUAGCCUUGCAAGAGAUUCAGUUAAGCUAUGCCUAAGCUGUGACCCACAGAAUCUAUGAAAAAUAAAUGUGUCUUGUUUUAGGCCACUAAUUCUGUGGUACUGAGCAAAUGAUAAUAAACAGACUACUUUCGUAGUUUGAAAAUAGGGUGAAAUCUCAGACCCCUCACAGUAUUUGACUGUUUUAUCAGCAAAGAUUGGAUGCUGCCAGGCAUAUGACUUUCUGUAAGAGAAAGGAAAAGGGCCUUAUGCAAAAUUGAUGAGAAUUGAGGGAAGUUCAUGGAAAUCAGUAAACAAUGUACAAUGUUGCCUCCCUCACUGUAUGGCAACUGGGUCGACUUUUGGCAAAGUCAGAAGUCUGGUGUGCAGUGGCAACUCUGCCUCAAAGAACAUGAGGUUCUUUAUUGUUUGCCCAGUAUAAGAUGGCCAAUGUAUUGACAAACUGUAUGGUUAACCAGGCAAUAAGUAGUCCU
Canis lupus familiaris (dog) is the source of this 2723-nucleotide long non-coding RNA. RefSeq lists it as uncharacterized. Lineage: Eukaryota; Metazoa; Chordata; Mammalia; Carnivora; Canidae. The transcript is spliced from 9 exons. The record is from RefSeq and is a predicted model, not a curated record.